This 27-nucleotide non-coding RNA is filed under the name Rhodella violacea. Lineage: Eukaryota; Rhodophyta; Rhodellophyceae; Rhodellales; Rhodellaceae. The record is from RNAcentral.
ACUUGAACGAUCAUCGCUUCAAUUCUU